Molecule: ribosomal RNA, 467 nt
Filed under: Mailhella massiliensis
Lineage: Bacteria; Pseudomonadati; Thermodesulfobacteriota; Desulfovibrionia; Desulfovibrionales; Desulfovibrionaceae
Description: bacterial SSU rRNA
Rfam family: Bacterial small subunit ribosomal RNA
Source: RNAcentral
UCCUACGGGAGGCAGCAGUGGGGAAUAUUGCGCAAUGGGCGAAAGCCUGACGCAGCGACGCCGCGUGAGGGAUGAAGGUCUUCGGAUCGUAAACCUCUGUCAGAAGGGAAAAAUGUACAGUGCUCCAAUCAACACUGUAUUGAUGGUACCUUCAGAGGAAGCACCGGCUAACUCCGUGCCAGCAGCCGCGGUAAUACGGAGGGUGCAAGCGUUAAUCGGAAUUACUGGGCGUAAAGCGCGCGUAGGUUGUUUUGUAAGUCAGAGGUGUAAUCCCACGGCUUAACCGUGGAACUGCCUUUGAUACUGCAUAACUUGGAUCCGGGAGAGGACAGCGGAAUUCCAGGUGUAGGAGUGAAAUCCGUAGAUAUCUGGAAGAACAUCAGUGGCGAAGGCGGCUGUCUGGACCGGUAUUGACGCUGAGGCGCGAAAGCGUGGGUAGCAAACAGGAUUAGAUACCCUGGUAGUCC